CAGCCGCCGCGGUAAUACCGGCAGCACGAGUGAUAGCCACUAUUAUUGGGCCUAAAGCGUCCGUAGCCGGCUAGACAGGUCCGUCGGGAAAUCCACCCGCUCAACGGGUGGGCGUCCGGCGGAAACCAGCUAGCUUGGGACCGAGCGACCUGAGGGGUACGUCCGGGGUAGGAGUGAAAUCCCGUAAUCCCGGACGGACCAUCGGUGGCGAAAGCGCCUCAGGAGAGCGGAUCCGACGGUGAGGGACGAAAGCUAGGGUCUCGAACCGGAUUAGAUACCCGGGUAGUCCUAGCCGUAAACGAUGCUCGCUAGGUGUGGCGCUGGCUACGAGCCAGCGCUGUGCCGUAGGGAAGCCGUGAAGCGAGCCGCCUGGGAAGUACGUCCGCAAGGAUGAAACUUAAAGGAAUUGGCGGGGGAGCAC
RNAcentral lists this ribosomal RNA (421 nucleotides) under uncultured Halococcus sp. Its description in RNAcentral is "bacterial SSU rRNA". It matches the Rfam family "Archaeal small subunit ribosomal RNA", at positions 459 to 879 of the family's 1478-position model. The record is from RNAcentral. Lineage: Archaea; Methanobacteriati; Methanobacteriota; Halobacteria; Halobacteriales; Halococcaceae.